RNA transcript from Astyanax mexicanus (Mexican tetra), 2202 nucleotides. RefSeq lists it as uncharacterized. The record is from RefSeq and is a predicted model, not a curated record. The transcript is spliced from 8 exons. NCBI's taxonomy places the organism in Eukaryota, Metazoa, Chordata, Actinopteri, Characiformes, Acestrorhamphidae.
ACCCUAGUGUUGGGUAAAGACGUCGCGCUGCAGAGAGGGAAGGCUAGCGACAUGAAUCAAGCAGCAAGUACACGAAGUCGCCGAGCAAAGCUUAAAACAACAGCCGUGUGUGAUUCUGAUAUUUAUGAUUUGUCUGUGAGGAAGAGGAGCACUGCAGAAAAAAGCAAAGAACAGACAAACAACAGAAGUGAAUGUCAACCCUAUGAACAGCCAACUACCUGUAAGGGGGGAAAAGCUACAGAGAGAGAUUUGUCUGUGAGGGAGAGGACCACUGCUGACAAAGCAUUUCAGUGCCUUGAUCAUGACCAACCAACUACCCUUCAGGAGGCAAAAGCUUCAGAAAAAGAAGCACCUACCCUUCAAGCAGCACUACAGACAAUUGUAUCCCAAAAGGGAGAGAUCGCCACCUUAAAGGAGAAGAUGGACCUGCUUGUUUAAGACCGUGACUUCCUCCGUGAAAGCCUUAAAGAAGCUCUGGCAGUCAGAAGUGGAAUGCAAGAGAAGAGAGCAGUCAAGUCCCUGGCAACAGGACAGAGGAAUCAAAGUUCUGAAACAGACAACUCCUCUUCUUCUGAGUCUUCAGAGGAUUCUGAGUCUUCUGAAGAUGAAGUGUCAACACAAGGAAGUAAGAAGACAUCUAUGAAGAGAUGCAUGAAGAAGCACAAGUUUAAAAAAACAAAGAAAAUUAAGAAAAUGCGAGUGCAAACACCAGAUGAUUCCAUCAGGCGCUAGUUGGUCCUGGAAAAAGUACAGAUUGAACACAUCAGUAAAGCAGAAGCAUACGCAAGACUUGGAAUCGACAGAAACACCAUUGUAUUGCAGGCCCCGAUUGCUGAACUUGCAGCUACAAAUCCUGAUGUUUUCAAAUCUCUGAAGGCAAGUUUUAAAAGAAAGGACAGCCUUAAAAGGUUUUCAGAAACCUGCAGGAGCUUCUGUGAACAGGAGCCCACUGCCACCGCGAUUCUGAAAAAAAAAGAAGAGGGAUCCCUGCUUGACAUUUAUAAAAUAUAACAAUGCUGUUUCUUUGUUUUUCCUAUGACGGUUAAAAGAGAAAUUCAGUGUUUAAUGGACUUUGGGUGAAGUAAAACAUGAUGAAGAACUCUAACCUUUGUUGAAUAGCCCACCUCCGUUCUCCUUUAUCUUUCCGAGAUCCAGACUAUUUUUCCACUUUUGCCAAACGAGCUUUAGAAUGGGUGGUCUGCCCCUGCAAAUAUAUCGCUUUUUACACCCUUAUCGAGGCUCAAAGUAGCUCCACACCUCACUGGUAGAAUCCAGAGAGCCCUGACGUUUAAACAGAGGCAUUAAGAACUUUAAAAAUAAAAGCCAUUGUUUACAUCCCAUAGUGUAACCUAGUUCUCAGGGCACCGCCAUCUUAAAGUAUAGUCACAGAUAUUUUUAGUCGCGAGACUGAACGAAUAGGUAGUAGAAUACUAUACUAUUCGUUCAGACUAGCGACUCGACUAUCUGUGGCUUUACUUUAAGAUGACGGUGCCCUGAGAACUCGGUUACGCUACGGGAUGUAAACAAUGAUUUUAGUAUAAGGUUUGGUAUAAGGGCUCUCCCUGAAUUCUACCAAUGAGGUGUGGAGCUUCUUUGCAGGGGCAAAUGGAUGCCCUGCGGAAAAUAUUCUGUAUUUUGGAAAGCUGCAGGAGAAUGGAGGUGGGCUAUUCAACAAAGGAUAUUACUCUUUAUCAUGUUUUACUACACCCAAAGUCAAUUUUACACAGUUCUCCUUUAACAGUUGUUCUGUUGUGUUCAGGUUAUGCACUGUGUUGUACACUGUUAAAAACAAUGGUUCUUGAUGGAUUCUUUAUAAAAGAAAAUGGUUCUAUCUAAAAUCUAAAACACUCAAAAUAUUACUUUAAGUGAUUUAAAAUGUUUAUUGCUGUUUGAAAGAGUGUAUUUUGCAUAUCUGCAAUGUUAAUGUUUAAUAUCGUUCUCAGCAGUAUUUUACUCACUCUUACCAACUCAACUUCUGACCCCCUUACUCCUUGUGGGUCAUAGAGGGUGCUGGAUCCUAUCCCAUUGUUGAGAGGGCAGGAAACAUGCUGGACAGACUGCCAAACCAUAACAGGCCCACUGUGUUUUAUUAUUUGUUUAUAUUUGUUUACUUUUUAAUAUUCUUAUUUUUUGUUAAAGCUUUGCUAUGUGAUGUCAGUUCAUCCAAGAACACUGUUCUGAUAAUAAAGAAUGUUUUCUUAA